UACGAAGGGGGCUAGCGUUGUUCGGAAUUACUGGGCGUAAAGCGCACGUAGGCGGUUUUGUAAGUUAGAGGUGAAAGCCCGGAGCUCAACUUCGGAAUUGCCUUUAAGACUGCAUCGCUUGAAUCAUGGAGAGGUCAGUGGAAUUCCGAGUGUAGAGGUGAAAUUCGUAGAUAUUCGGAAGAACACCAGUGGCGAAGGCGACUGACUGGACAUGUAUUGACGCUGAGGUGCGAAAGCGUGGGGAGCAAACAGG
Molecule: ribosomal RNA, 253 nt
Filed under: uncultured bacterium
Lineage: Bacteria
Description: partial 16S ribosomal RNA
Rfam family: Bacterial small subunit ribosomal RNA
Source: RNAcentral